RNAcentral lists this small RNA (892 nucleotides) under Pan troglodytes (chimpanzee). RNAcentral's name for it is "retained intron". Lineage: Eukaryota; Metazoa; Chordata; Mammalia; Primates; Hominidae. The record is from RNAcentral.
UACAUUUGGGAGCAGUUGGCUUCUGGUUUUAAACACAAGAAUUUUCGAUCUCGAGAAGGCGUGUGUCUGUGUCUUAUUGAAACCUUAAACAUUUUUGGGGCUCAGCCACUAGUCAUCAGCAAAUUGAUACCACAUUUGUGUAUCCUGUUUGGAGACUCCAACAGUCAGGUGAGAGAUGCUGCAAUAUUGGCUAUAGUGGAGAUUUAUAGACAUGUGGGAGAAAAAGUGAGGAUGGAUCUUUAUAAGAGAGGAAUUCCCCCUGCUAGACAGGGUCUGGCCCUGUUGCCUAGGCUGCAGUGCAGUGUUACGAUCUCGGCUUACUGCAACCUCCACCUCCCGGGCUGAAGCCAUCCUCUCACCUCAGCUUCCCAAGUAGCUGGGACAACAGACGUGUGCCACCGCGCUUGGCUACUUUUUGUAUUUUUUGUAGAGAUAGGGUUUCACCAUGUUGCCCAGGCUGGUCUUGAACUCCGGAGCUCAAGCAGUCCUCCUGCCUCAGUCUCUCUGGAAUUAUGGGCGUGAACCACUGCAGUCAGCUGAAAUGUUUUAAAAUUCAAAAGAUACAAAAGGAUAUAUAUGUUGUCACCAUUUAAAAAGUUCUUAAGGUCCUGUAAUAUUUUUUGUCAUUGUUUCAUUAUAUAUUCAUUUAUUAUUUAGUAUGUAAUUAUGUACCAUUAUCAAGUAAUCAUCCUUUGAUACCAGGUGGUAAUAGUCAUUAUUUGGGAGAUGCUUGAGCAAGGAUUUACUAAAAAUAUUAAUUAAUUCAUCAAGUAAAUCCUUUAAAAGUAUGUACUGUUGAAAGGUACCAUACAAUUUAUUGGGUAACAGAAACUGUAUGAGAAUCAGUUUUUUAAAAGCUUAAUAAGUAACCAAUUGUAGGGUUCUUACAAUU